Molecule: ribosomal RNA, 477 nt
Filed under: uncultured organism
Description: partial 16S ribosomal RNA
Rfam family: Bacterial small subunit ribosomal RNA
Source: RNAcentral
ACGUACACUCCUACGGGAGGCAGCAGUGGGGAAUUUUGGACAAUGGGCGAAAGCCUGAUCCAGCCAUGCCGCGUGCAGGAUGAAGGCCUUCGGGUUGUAAACUGCUUUUGUACGGAACGAAACGGCCUUUUCUAAUAAAGAGGGCUAAUGACGGUACCGUAAGAAUAAGCACCGGCUAACUACGUGCCAGCAGCCGCGGUAAUACGUAGGGUGCAAGCGUUAAUCGGAAUUACUGGGCGUAAAGCGUGCGCAGGCGGUUAUGUAAGACAGUUGUGAAAUCCCCGGGCUCAACCUGGGAACUGCAUCUGUGACUGCAUAGCUAGAGUACGGUAGAGGGGGAUGGAAUUCCGCGUGUAGCAGUGAAAUGCGUAGAUAUGCGGAGGAACACCGAUGGCGAAGGCAAUCCCCUGGACCUGUACUGACGCUCAUGCACGAAAGCGUGGGGAGCAAACAGGAUUAGAUACCCUGGUAGUCCCA